This 458-nucleotide ribosomal RNA is filed under the name uncultured bacterium. RNAcentral describes it as "partial 16S ribosomal RNA". It matches the Rfam family "Bacterial small subunit ribosomal RNA", at positions 338 to 795 of the family's 1533-position model. The record is from RNAcentral.
CCUACGGAGGCAGCAGUGAGGAAUAUUGGUCAAUGGCCGGAAGGCUGAACCAGCCAAGCCGCGUGAAGGACGAAGGUGCCAAGCAUUGUAAACUUCUUUUGUCAAGGGACAAAAUCAGGCUCGAGAGCCUGACCGAGGGUACUUGAAGAAAAAGCAUCGGCUAACUCGGUGCCAGCAGCCGCGGUAUUCCGGAGGAUGCGAGCGUUAUCCGGAUUUAUGGGGUUUAAAGGGUGCGUAGGCGGACUGUUAAGUCAGCGGUAAAAGCCCGGGGCUAAACCCCGGCGAGCCGUUGAAACUGGCGGUCUUGAGAUGGCGAGAGGUAUGCGGAAUGCGCAGUGUAGCGGUGAAAUGCUUAGAUAUUGCGCAGAACUCCGAUUGCGAAGGCAGCAUACCGGCGGCGAUCUGACGCUGAGGCACGAAAGCGUGGGGAUCGAACAGGAUUAGAUACCCGUGUAGUC